CCCCAAGCAAUUUGCUUAAUUUGAUAAAAUUUAAUUGGAACAGUGAAGACUUGGUUAAUAUUUAAAAAACAAACAGUUAAUCAUGUUCUUUUGCACUGCCUGUAUCAGCUCCAUCAGAAGCACCAUGCUGCUCUUGAGGGACAGACAAAUCAGAAUUGAGGCACCAGAGAUACCAAGUGCUAUCUUUGAAAAAUGGACUUUUAAAAAACAUCUGGUUUGACUUGGAAAGCAGAACCUGCCAGAAGAUGCUGAACACCAACCAGCACCAUCCUUUUUCCACUCUCCUUUGGCACUAAGUUCAAAGUGAAACUUCACAAGAGAUUGCAGCUGUGUCCUUUGAGCCCUGUGACUCAGCACCAGCACGACAGCCUCACACAUGAGGAAAUGCGUGUGCAAAAAACACUUUCUAGGAGGCUUCUGCCUAAUGCUGGGAAACACUGAUGCACUCUGGCUCCAGGGAGAGGACAAUCAUUCAAUCUGUGUGCCCAGUCAGAGAUGCAGUGGAUACAUAAUUUUU
RNAcentral lists this long non-coding RNA (517 nucleotides) under Cyanistes caeruleus (blue tit). RNAcentral describes it as "lncRNA (ENSCCEG00000008630.1)". Lineage: Eukaryota; Metazoa; Chordata; Aves; Passeriformes; Paridae. The record is from RNAcentral.